GUUUCUUGGUAUAGUUGGUUAAUAUGUCUGAUUUAGGUGGUAUUAGUCACACCAUCUCUAAAUAGUUUUGGGUUCAAUUCCCAUCAUGAACA
Non-coding RNA from Mycena maculata, 92 nucleotides. Lineage: Eukaryota; Fungi; Basidiomycota; Agaricomycetes; Agaricales; Mycenaceae. The record is from the annotation of a GenBank genome assembly.